This 255-nucleotide ribosomal RNA is filed under the name uncultured bacterium. Its description in RNAcentral is "partial 16S ribosomal RNA". It matches the Rfam family "Bacterial small subunit ribosomal RNA", at positions 524 to 776 of the family's 1533-position model. The record is from RNAcentral.
UACGUAGGGCGCAAGCGUUGUCCGGAAUUAUUGGGCGUAAAGAGCUCGUAGGCGGUUUGUCGCGUCUGCUGUGAAAUCCCGAGGCUCAACCUCGGGCUUGCAGUGGGUACGGGCAGACUAGAGUGCGGUAGGGGAGAUUGGAAUUCCUGGUGUAGCGGUGGAAUGCGUAGAGAUCGGGAGGAACACCAGUGGCGAAGGCGGCUCCACUGGCCCGGUACUGACGCUGAGGUGCGAAAGGCGUGGGGAGCAAACAGG